This 275-nucleotide ribosomal RNA is filed under the name uncultured Geobacter sp. RNAcentral's name for it is "partial 16S ribosomal RNA". It matches the Rfam family "Bacterial small subunit ribosomal RNA", at positions 90 to 351 of the family's 1533-position model. The record is from RNAcentral. Lineage: Bacteria; Pseudomonadati; Thermodesulfobacteriota; Desulfuromonadia; Geobacterales; Geobacteraceae.
GUAAAGUGGCGCACGGGUGAGUAACGCGUGGAUAAUCUGCCCUGUGAUCUGGGAUAACACUUCUAAAGGGGUGCUAAUACCGGAUAAGACCACGGAGUCUUAGGACUCUGCGGUAAAAGGUGGGGACCUUCGGGCCUACCGUCAUCGGAUGAGUCCGCGUACCAUUAGCUAGUUGGUAGGGUAAGAGCCUACCAAGGCGACGAUGGUUAGCUGGUCUGAGAGGAUGAUCAGCCACACUGGAACUGAGACACGGUCCAGACUCCUACGGGAGGCAG